This 252-nucleotide ribosomal RNA is filed under the name uncultured bacterium. RNAcentral's name for it is "partial 16S ribosomal RNA". It matches the Rfam family "Bacterial small subunit ribosomal RNA", at positions 524 to 776 of the family's 1533-position model. The record is from RNAcentral.
UACGGGGGGGCAAGCGUUGUUCGGAAUUACUGGGCGUAAAGGGCCAGUAGGCGGCCAACUAAGUCGGAUGUGAAAUCCCCAGGCUUAACCUGGGAACUGCAUCCGAUACUGGAUGGCUUGAAUUCGGGAGAGGGAUGCAGAAUUCCAGGUGUAGCGGUGAAAUGCGUAGAUAUCUGGAGGAAUACCGGUGGCGAAGGCGGCAUCCUGGACCGACAUUGACGCUGAACGGCGAAAGCUAGGGGAGCAAACGGG